UUGCAUGCUGGGGACUCUUGUUCUGCUCCUCAUUCUUUUGAGAAUAAAAUUGUCUGUGGCAUGCUGUGUAAAAUAAAGGCAUUUUCAGAGCUGCUAACCAUGUAGUUAAGAUUAUAUGAUACUCUGUUUCUCCUACCAAA
Molecule: small nucleolar RNA, 140 nt
Organism: Bison bison bison
Lineage: Eukaryota; Metazoa; Chordata; Mammalia; Artiodactyla; Bovidae
Source: Ensembl